AUUGAACGCUGGCGGCAUGCCUUACACAUGCAAGUCGAACGGUAACAGGUCUUCGGAUGCUGACGAGUGGCGAACGGGUGAGUAAUACAUCGGAACGUGCCCGAUCGUGGGGGAUAACGGAGCGAAAGCUUUGCUAAUACCGCAUACGAUCUACGGAUGAAAGCAGGGGACCGCAAGGCCUUGCGCGGACGGAGCGGCCGAUGGCAGAUUAGGUAGUUGGUGGGAUAAAAGCUUACCAAGCCGACGAUCUGUAGCUGGUCUGAGAGGACGACCAGCCACACUGGGACUGAGACACGGCCCAGACUCCUACGGGAGGCAGCAGUGGGGAAUUUUGGACAAUGGGCGAAAGCCUGAUCCAGCCAUGCUGCGUGCAGGAUGAAGGCCUUCGGGUUGUAAACUGCUUUUGUACGGAACGAAAAGACUCUUUCUAAUAAAGAGGGUCCAUGACGGUACCGUAAGAAUAAGCACCGGCUAACUACGUG
Molecule: ribosomal RNA, 482 nt
Filed under: uncultured bacterium
Lineage: Bacteria
Description: partial 16S ribosomal RNA
Rfam family: Bacterial small subunit ribosomal RNA
Source: RNAcentral